AGGGGCUGUUGGAGAAGGGGGCGGAGCGAGCUGGGUGGUGAGCGGCACUCUGGGACUCGGAGGACAGAGCGGCUAACCGCUGGAGGCGGGAGUCGGCGUGGGAUGAGAUCACUCAUUCUGGGGAAGAAAGCUCCCAUGUCAUGAAGACAAUCAUGCAGCUUUACAGAGAGAUCCACAUAGUGAGGAGCUGAGUUGUCCUGCAACUUGCAAGCCAUAUGCGAGAAAAGGAUGAUUCCCUAGAGAGGGCUAUGAACAAGAAUACAGAGCUGUGAACAGGAAUAUUUGGGAACAGAUAUUGUCAGAAAACCAUCUUUCAAAUAGUGGCUACUCCAAAAUUCAACCAGGUUGAGGAAGCUGUUCACUAGUCAAGGGGGCAAUUUUUCCUGAAGAGGAUACUGGAAAAGGAAGGACCUCCUAGAACAUGAAGUCAAGAGUCACGAAGGACAAUAGACUAUGAACCUACCUCCAGGAAACAAAAUUGAUUAAGUUUUCUACACUAACUCAGCUUAGUAGACCUUAUGAUAGUUCCUCAUUGGGAUUUCAGAAUUGCUAUGAAUCAGUGAUUGCUGGUUCUACCCUUUUCCCCUCAUAAAUAAGAGUAUUUAUAUGGGUUCCACAUUUUAUGAUGCAUGUGUGGGGUGCAAAUAGCAAACUUUUUAGUUUAUAGGACUUUGGCUCAAGAGAAGCUAUAUUUGAGCAUGAUAUACAUUUUAAGAGCUCGGGUUUCAAACUGGAUGUUUUGAUUGGAUAAGACCUUAGAGUAUUGUUAGAAUGGGGUGACUAUCUUUGUUUUGAGGAAGGGAAUGAACAUUUGUGAACAAUGGCAGGCUGUAUCAGAUUGCAUUAUUUCACAGAUAUUCAUUCCUCCAUACCCUUGCCAUGCUUUGUGAACAGUCUACUUUCCUGCCCACUGACUUUAGCCUAGAUCAUAUUACUUUCUUUGGCUAAAAGAUAUCUCAGUAGAAGUUUUAAAUGUGCUUGCAUAUUUUGUAUGGCUUGGUACCCAGUCUCCUGAUUUUUUCCUUCCAAAAUGAGAGUAGCAUGUCCCAGGUACAGGCUUACUCUUUCAGUCUGACCUCUGGAAUGAGAAUAUAUGUUUCAUGGAGACCAGGAGUUUUGAGAAAAAAGAACUAUUGACCGAGAAUCCCAUACCCUUGAAAAUAUCCUUCAGAAAUGAAGGGGAAAUCAAGGGGCACCUGAGUGGUUUAGUUGGUUAAGUGUCCAAAUUCAGCUCAGGUCACGAUCCCACGGUUUAUGAGUUCAAGCCUCAGGUCAGGCUCUGUGCUGAGAGCUCAGAGCCUGGAGCCUGCUUUGGAUUCGGUGUCUCCCUCUCUUUUUGCCCCUCCCCCAUUCACACUCUCUCUGUGUCAAGAAAAUAAACAUUUAAAAAAAUUUUUAAAAAUCUUCAUACGUGUGAAAUAAGUCAUAAACUCAUGGUAACGUGAUUUUUUACUAAAAACAUUGAUUCAGGAAAUCAAUUCUUUGGACAACAUAGAGGCUGGGUUAAAUAAGGAAGCUUAGUCCUUGUUGGGUAGAGGCCCUCACUUCAUCUGUUCACAGUGCACGGGCUCAGCACUUGCCCACACAAAGCCUCUGUCUGGAACUCACCUGCAUGUACUCGGCCCUUGGCCCUUGUCUGCAGCAUGACGAGGUGACUGGCACAGAGGAAAAGAUCAAUGCUCUCAUGAAAUCAGCUGGUAUAAAUGUGUAAUCUUUCUGGAGGGCCGUGUUUGCUAAGGCCCUGGUGAAUGUCAACAUUGGGAGCCUCCUCUGCAAGGAAAGGCCUGGUGGACCCACUGCAGCACAGCAGCUGGUGCUGGACCAGCUGUCCCAGGUCCUUCCCCCUCUACCACUGUUGUCCCUGCUGUGAAGAAGGAGGUAGAAGCAAAGAAUGAAGAAUCCGGGGAAUCUGAUGGUGACACGGGUUUUGGUCUUUCUGACUAAACCUCUUCUGAACCUGUUCAGUAUAAAGCUGAACUCUUAAAAAAAAAAAAAA
Long non-coding RNA from Panthera uncia (snow leopard), 1996 nucleotides. RefSeq lists it as uncharacterized. The transcript has 5 exons. Lineage: Eukaryota; Metazoa; Chordata; Mammalia; Carnivora; Felidae. The record is from RefSeq and is a predicted model, not a curated record.